CCUACGGGAGGCAGCAGUGAGGAAUAUUGGUCAAUGGGCGCGAGCCUGAACCAGCCAAGCAGCGUGAAGGACGACUGCCCUAAGGGUUGUAAACUUCUUUUGUCAAGGAAUAAAGUCAGGCACGUGUGCCUGUCUGUAGGUACUUUAUGAAUAAGGAUCGGCUAACUCCGUGCCAGCAGCCGCGGUAAUACGGAGGAUCCGAGCGUUAUCCGGAUUUAUUGGGUUUAAAGGGUGCGUAGGUGGGUUGUUAAGUCAGUUGUUAAAGGUUGGGGCUCAACCGUAAAAUUGCAAUUGAUACUGGCAGUCUUGAGUACAGGUGAGGUAGGCGGAAUGCGUGGUGUAGCGGUGAAAUGCUUAGAUAUCACGAAGAACUCCGAUUGCGAAGGCAGCUUACUGACCUGCCACUGACAUUGAUGCUCGAAAGUGUGGGUAUCAAACAGGAUUAGAUACCCCAGUAGUC
This 460-nucleotide ribosomal RNA is filed under the name uncultured bacterium. Its description in RNAcentral is "partial 16S ribosomal RNA". It matches the Rfam family "Bacterial small subunit ribosomal RNA", at positions 338 to 795 of the family's 1533-position model. The record is from RNAcentral.